Molecule: ribosomal RNA, 497 nt
Filed under: uncultured bacterium
Lineage: Bacteria
Description: partial 16S ribosomal RNA
Rfam family: Bacterial small subunit ribosomal RNA
Source: RNAcentral
GAUGAACGCUGGCGGCGUGCCUAAUACAUGCCAGUCGAGCGAAAGGACGAGAAGCUUUCUUCUCUGAUGUUAGCGGCGGACGGGUGAUUACCACGUGGAUAACAUAACUAUAAGAAUGGGCUAACUUCGGGAAAUCAGAACUAAUACCGGAAGAUAUUUUGAACCACAAUGUUCAAACGUGAAAGACGGUCUUGGUUUAGGUUAAAGAUGAACCCGGCCUGCAUCAGCUAGUUGGCGGAGUAAAGGAUUACCAAGACAGCGACGCAUAGCCGACCCGAACGGGAGAUCGCCCACACGGGAACUGAGACACGGUCCAUACUCUUACGGGAGGCAGCAGUAGGGAAUCUUCCGCAAUGGGGGAAAGCCUGACGUAGCAACGCCGCGUGAGUGAUGAAGGUCUUCGGAUCGUAAAACUCUGUUAUUAGUGAAGAACAUAUGUGUAAGUAACUGUGCAGAUCUUGACGGUACCUAAUCAGAAAGCCACGGCUAACUACGUG